AGAGUUUGAUCAUGGCUCAGAUUGAACGCUGGCGGCAGGCCUAACACAUGCAAGUCGAACGGUAACAGGAAGAAGCUUGCUUCUUUGCUGACGAGUGGCGGACGGGUGAGUAAUGUCUGGGAAACUGCCUGAUGGAGGGGGAUAACUACUGGAAACGGUAGCUAAUACCGCAUAACGUCGCAAGACCAAAGAGGGGGACCUUCGGGCCUCUUGCCAUCGGAUGUGCCCAGAUGGGAUUAGCUAGUAGGUGGGGUAACGGCUCACCUAGGCGACGAUCCCUAGCUGGUCUGAGAGGAUGACCAGCCACACUGGAACUGAGACACGGUCCAGACUCCUACGGGAGGCAGCAGUGGGGAAUAUUGCACAAUGGGCGCAAGCCUGAUGCAGCCAUGCCGCGUGUAUGAAGAAGGCCUUCGGGUUGUAAAGUACUUUCAGCGGGGAGGAAGGGAGUAAAGUUAAUACCUUUGCUCAUUGACGUUACCCGCAGAAGAAGCACCGGCUAACUCCGUGCCAGCAGCGGCGGUAAUACGGAGGGUGCAAGCGUUAAUCGGAAUUACUGGGCGUAAAGCGCACGCAGGCGGUUUGUUAAGUCAGAUGUGAAAUCCCCGGGCUCAACCUGGGAACUGCAUCUGAUACUGGCAAGCUUGAGUCUCGUAGAGGGGGGUAGAAUUCCAGGUGUAGCGGUGAAAUGCGUAGAGAUCUGGAGGAAUACCGGUGGCGAAGGCGGCCCCCUGGACGAAGACUGACGCUCAGGUGCGAAAGCGUGGGGAGCAAACAGGAUUAGAUACCCUGGUAGUCCACGCCGUAAACGAUGUCGACUUGGAGGUUGUGCCCUUGAGGCGUGGCUUCCGGAGCUAACGCGUUAAGUCGACCGCCUGGGGAGUACGGCCGCAAGGUUAAAACUCAAAUGAAUUGACGGGGGCCCGCACAAGCGGUGGAGCAUGUGGUUUAAUUCGAUGCAACGCGAAGAACCUUACCUGGUCUUGACAUCCACGGAAGUUUUCAGAGAUGAGAAUGUGCCUUCGGGAACCGUGAGACAGGUGCUGCAUGGCUGUCGUCAGCUCGUGUUGUGAAAUGUUGGGUUAAGUCCCGCAACGAGCGCAACCCUUAUCCUUUGUUGCCAGCGGUCCGGCCGGGAACUCAAAGGAGACUGCCAGUGAUAAACUGGAGGAAGGUGGGGAUGACGUCAAGUCAUCAUGGCCCUUACGACCAGGGCUACACACGUGCUACAAUGGCGCAUACAAAGAGAAGCGACCUCGCGAGAGCAAGCGGACCUCAUAAAGUGCGUCGUAGUCCGGAUUGGAGUCUGCAACUCGACUCCAUGAAGUCGGAAUCGCUAGUAAUCGUGGAUCAGAAUGCCACGGUGAAUACGUUCCCGGGCCUUGUACACACCGCCCGUCACACCAUGGGAGUGGGUUGCAAAAGAAGUAGGUAGCUUAACCUUCGGGAGGGCGCUUACCACUUUGUGAUUCAUGACUGGGGUGAAGUCGUAACAAGGUAACCGUAGGGGAACCUGCGGUUGGAUCACCU
This 1530-nucleotide ribosomal RNA is filed under the name Escherichia coli 3-373-03_S3_C3. RNAcentral describes it as "bacterial SSU rRNA". It matches the Rfam family "Bacterial small subunit ribosomal RNA". The record is from RNAcentral. Lineage: Bacteria; Pseudomonadati; Pseudomonadota; Gammaproteobacteria; Enterobacterales; Enterobacteriaceae.